GCAAGUCGAACGGUAACAGGUAUUAGCUUGCUAAUUUGCUGACGAGUGGCGCACGGGUGCGUAACGCGUAUACAAUCUACCUUUUGCUGAGGGAUAGCCGAGAGAAAUUUGGAUUAAUACCUUAUGGUAUUAUUGAUAGGCAUCUAUUAAUAAUUAAAGGUUACGGCAAAAGAUGAGUAUGCGUCCCAUUAGCUAGUUGGCGAGGUAACGGCUCACCAAGUCAACGAUGGGUAGGGGUCCUGAGAGGGAGAUC
This 253-nucleotide ribosomal RNA is filed under the name uncultured bacterium. RNAcentral describes it as "partial 16S ribosomal RNA". It matches the Rfam family "Bacterial small subunit ribosomal RNA", at positions 57 to 305 of the family's 1533-position model. The record is from RNAcentral.